This 353-nucleotide ribosomal RNA is filed under the name Enterococcus faecalis. RNAcentral describes it as "bacterial SSU rRNA". It matches the Rfam family "Bacterial small subunit ribosomal RNA", at positions 1184 to 1533 of the family's 1533-position model. Lineage: Bacteria; Bacillati; Bacillota; Bacilli; Lactobacillales; Enterococcaceae. The record is from RNAcentral.
UGCGCGCUGCCUGAGCCCUUAUGACCUGGGCUACACACGUGCUACAAUGGGAAGUACAACGAGUCGCUAGACCGCGAGGUCAUGCAAAUCUCUUAAAGCUUCUCUCAGUUCGGAUUGCAGGCUGCAACUCGCCUGCAUGAAGCCGGAAUCGCUAGUAAUCGCGGAUCAGCACGCCGCGGUGAAUACGUUCCCGGGCCUUGUACACACCGCCCGUCACACCACGAGAGUUUGUAACACCCGAAGUCGGUGAGGUAACCUUUUUGGAGCCAGCCGCCUAAGGUGGGAUAGAUGAUUGGGGUGAAGUCGUAACAAGGUAGCCGUAUCGGAAGGUGCGGUUGGAUCACCUCCACAAG